AGCGAACGCUGGCGGCGUGCUUAACACAUGCAAGUCGAGCGAGAAAGGGGGCUUCGGCCCCUGAGUACAGCGGCGAACGGGUGCGUAAUACAUGAGCAAUCUACCCUUGAGGCGGGAAUAGCCCAGCGAAAGUUGGGCUAAUACCGGAUAAGACCACAAGAGGAGACCCUAGAGGCUAAAGGCAGCUCUCUUUUGGGGGCGGCCCUUUGAGGAGGAGCUCAUGCCCUANCAGCUAGUUGGUAGGGUAACGGCCUACCAAGGCGAAGACGGGUAGCUGGUCUUAGAGGAUGAUCAGCCACACGGGGACUGAGACACGGCCCCGACUCCUACGGGAGGCAGCAGUGGGGAAUAUUGGGCAAUGGGGGAAACCCUGACCCAGCGACGCCGCGUGGGUGAUGAAGGCCUUCGGGUC
Molecule: ribosomal RNA, 412 nt
Filed under: uncultured bacterium
Lineage: Bacteria
Description: bacterial SSU rRNA
Rfam family: Bacterial small subunit ribosomal RNA
Source: RNAcentral